GACGAACGCUGGCGGCGUGCCUAAUACAUGCAAGUUGAGCGAUGAAGAUUGGUGCUUGCACCAAUUUGAAGAGCAGCGCACGGGUGAGUAACGCGUGGGGAAUCUGCCUUUGAGCGGGGGACAACAUUUGGAAACGAAUGCUAAUACCGCAUAACAACUUUAAACAUAAGUUUUAAGUUUGAAAGAUGCAAUUGCAUCACUCAAAGAUGAUCCCGCGUUGUAUUAGCUAGUUGGUGAGGUGAAGGCUCACCAAGGCGAUGAUACAUAGCCGACCUGAGAGGGUGAUCGGCCACAUUGGGACUGAGACACGGCCCAAACUCCUACGGGAGGCAGCAGUAGGGAAUCUUCGGCAAUGGACGAAAGUCUGACCGAGCAACGCCGCGUGAGUGAAGAAGGUUGUCGGAUCGUAAAACUCUGUUGGUAGAGAAGAACGUUGGUGAGAGUGGAAAGCUCAUCAAGUGACGGUAACUACCCAGAAAGGGACGGCUAACUACGUG
RNAcentral lists this ribosomal RNA (497 nucleotides) under uncultured bacterium. RNAcentral describes it as "partial 16S ribosomal RNA". It matches the Rfam family "Bacterial small subunit ribosomal RNA", at positions 28 to 507 of the family's 1533-position model. The record is from RNAcentral.